UGGCAAUCAUGCACCUGCUCCUGAUCAGCCAUCCCUACCUCUUAAGGAGAGACCAGACUUCCAUUCCCUGCUGGAUUGUGUGAAGUCGUGUACCAUCACCUGUACUACCUGUUCUGCCUGCCUGCCUACCAGUUCCAAGUCCCUCAAAGCCAAGAUCAUUUCCAGCCAGCCACGCCAGCCAGCCCUCACGCUCCACUGCUUGGAAAGAGACUCCCUGCCAUCUCACCCUGCCUAGUUUGCUCACCCUGCCUCAGUCAAUAAACUGUUUAACUGCU
This is a long non-coding RNA of Micropterus dolomieu (smallmouth bass), 275 nucleotides long. RefSeq lists it as uncharacterized. The transcript has 2 exons. Lineage: Eukaryota; Metazoa; Chordata; Actinopteri; Centrarchiformes; Centrarchidae. The record is from RefSeq and is a predicted model, not a curated record.